AGCUCCAAUAGCGUAUAUUAAAGUUGUUGCAGUUAAAAAGCUCGUAGUUGGAUUCGAAGCGUUUUAGUUGGCCGAGAGGAUGGUUGGACCUUUACGGCAUGUACUAUUGCGUUCUAUGUUCAGCCGAUGUAGACUGGCCUUAAUUGGCUGGUAUUGCGUCCUGAACCGUUUACCUUGAAUAAAUUAGGGUGUUCAAAGCAGGCUUUCAAGCCUUGAAUAGUUUAGCAUGGGAUAAUGGAAUACGACCCUAGUCUAGUCCGUCGGUGUUUCUAGGCUAGGGUAAUGAUUAAUAGAGAUAGUCGGGGUCAUUCAUAUUCAAUUGUCAGAGGUGAAAUUCUUAGAUUCUUUGAAGAUGAACUGCAGCGAAAGCGUUUGACAAGGAUGCUCUCA
RNAcentral lists this ribosomal RNA (390 nucleotides) under uncultured eukaryote. RNAcentral's name for it is "partial small subunit ribosomal RNA". It matches the Rfam family "Eukaryotic small subunit ribosomal RNA", at positions 587 to 972 of the family's 1831-position model. The record is from RNAcentral.